AACGCUGGCGGCAGGCUUAACACAUGCAAGUCGAGCGGAAACGAUGAUAGCUUGCUAUCAGGCGUCGAGCGGCGGACGGGUGAGUAAUACUUAGGAAUCUACCUAGUAGUGGGGGAUAGCACGGGGAAACUCGUAUUAAUACCGCAUACGUCCUACGGGAGAAAGGGGGCAACUUGUUGCUCUCGCUAUUAGAUGAGCCUAAGUCGGAUUAGCUAGAUGGUGGGGUAAAGGCCUACCAUGGCGACGAUCUGUAGCUGGUCUGAGAGGAUGAUCAGCCACACCGGGACUGAGACACGGCCCGGACUCCUACGGGAGGCAGCAGUGGGGAAUAUUGGACAAUGGGGGAAACCCUGAUCCAGCCAUGCCGCGUGUGUGAAGAAGGCCUUUUGGUUGUAAAGCACUUUAAGCAGUGAAGAAGACUCUUCGGUUAAUACCCGGAGACGAUGACAUUAGCUGCAGAAUAAGCACCGGCUAACUCUGUGCCAGCAGCCGCGGUAAUACAGAGGGUGCAAGCGUUAAUCGGAAUUACUGGGCGUAAAGCGAGCGUAGGUGGCUUGAUAAGUCAGAUGUGAAAUCCCCGGGCUUAACCUGGGAACUGCAUCUGAAACUGUUAGGCUAGAGUAGGUGAGAGGGAAGUAGAAUUUCAGGUGUAGCGGUGAAAUGCGUAGAGAUCUGAAGGAAUACCGAUGGCGAAGGCAGCUUCCUGGCAUCAUACUGACACUGAGGCUCGAAAGCGUGGGUAGCAAACAGGAUUAGAUACCCUGGUAGUCCACGCCGUAAACGAUGUCUACUAGUCGUUGGGUCCCUUGAGGACUUAGUGACGCAGCUUACGCAAUAAGUAGACCGCCUGGGGAGUACGGCCGCAAGGUUAAAACUCAAAUGAAUUGACGGGGGCCCGCACAAGCGGUGGAGCAUGUGGUUUAAUUCGAUGCAACGCGAAGAACCUUACCUGGUCUUGACAUAUCUAGAAUCCUGCAGAGAUGCGGGAGUGCCUUCGGGAAUUAGAAUACAGGUGCUGCAUGGCUGUCGUCAGCUCGUGUCGUG
RNAcentral lists this ribosomal RNA (1044 nucleotides) under Psychrobacter piscatorii. RNAcentral describes it as "bacterial SSU rRNA". It matches the Rfam family "Bacterial small subunit ribosomal RNA", at positions 32 to 1069 of the family's 1533-position model. Lineage: Bacteria; Pseudomonadati; Pseudomonadota; Gammaproteobacteria; Moraxellales; Moraxellaceae. The record is from RNAcentral.